This 275-nucleotide ribosomal RNA is filed under the name Roseovarius sp. HI0049. RNAcentral describes it as "partial 23S ribosomal RNA". It matches the Rfam family "Bacterial large subunit ribosomal RNA", at positions 2644 to 2925 of the family's 2925-position model. The record is from RNAcentral. Lineage: Bacteria; Pseudomonadati; Pseudomonadota; Alphaproteobacteria; Rhodobacterales; Roseobacteraceae.
GCCGUGGGUGUAGGAUACUUGAGAGGAGUUGCCCCUAGUACGAGAGGACCGGGGUGAACGAUCCACUGGUGGACCUGUUGUUGCGCCAGCAGCAGUGCAGGGUAGCUAUGAUCGGACAGGAUAACCGCUGAAGGCAUCUAAGCGGGAAGCCCCCCUCAAAACAAGGUAUCCCUGAGGACCGUGGUAGACCACCACGUCGAUAGGCCGGAGAUGUAAGCGCGGCAACGCGUUCAGUUGACCGGUACUAAUUGUCCGAUAGGCUUGAUUUGAUCCAG